GAGGGCUUAGCUUAAUUAAAGUGAUUGAGUUGCAUUCAGUUGAUGCAAGAUAAAGUCUUGUAGUCCUUA
This 69-nucleotide transfer RNA is filed under the name Sciurus stramineus (Guayaquil squirrel). Its description in RNAcentral is "Simosciurus stramineus (Guayaquil squirrel) tRNA-Ala". It matches the Rfam family "tRNA". Rfam says of the family: Transfer RNA (tRNA) molecules are approximately 80 nucleotides in length. Their secondary structure includes four short double-helical elements and three loops (D, anti-codon, and T loops). Further hydrogen bonds mediate the characteristic L-shaped molecular structure. tRNAs have two regions of fundamental functional importance: the anti-codon, which is responsible for specific mRNA codon recognition, and the 3' end, to which the tRNAs corresponding amino acid is attached (by aminoacyl-tRNA synthetases). tRNAs cope with the degeneracy of the genetic code in two manners: having more than one tRNA (with a specific anti-codon) for a particular amino acid; and 'wobble' base-pairing, i.e. permitting non-standard base-pairing at the 3rd anti-codon position. The record is from RNAcentral. Lineage: Eukaryota; Metazoa; Chordata; Mammalia; Rodentia; Sciuridae.